GCGCGAGCAGCAGCAGUACAGUGCAGCCGCCCAGGUCAACAACAGCGUAGCCAAUACUCGUACUAGUCGACAAGCAAUGCGUACCAGUAGCUCGCGCUCUACGGCAGGAGACAAAGGUCGGUGCGCGCCGUGGCCCACCGGCCCGGCCCGUGUGCGUGCGUGCGUGGUGCCUGGUAGACGUGGUGGACAGUACGCAGAAUGCGAGGAGGACCAAUCGUGCACUCGCAAAAGAAAAAGAGAGAAUUCCUUAUUUAACAUCGUGCUUAAAUUUUAUGCCCUAUUUAACAUCGGCAAAUAAUUUCUUUCCUAUGUAACAACGAGUCUAAAUUUUAUGUCCUUUAUAACACUUUCGUCCCAUUUAGACCUAAAUGACACCUAAAAAGACCAUUUUACCCCUUAUAUGAUAUGAUUGUGUGCGCACGCGCACUGCUGCGUCCGUGUGGGUGCGCUGCUGCGUGUUUGUGUGUGUGUGCGUGCUGUGUGUGUGUGCUGCUGCAUCCGUGUGUGUGCUGCUGCGUCCGUGUGUGCGUGUGUGUGUGUGCUGCUACAUAUGUGUGUGCUACGCGUGUGUGUGCUGGUGUGUGUGCUGCUGCAUAUGUGUGUACUAUUAUGCGCGUGUGUGUGCUCAAAGAAAAAAGGUCUAUCUCACGCCCUAGCAGCCAUUUACGAGCGCAUUCAAAGCCCGCCAAAUUAAUCACGACGCGACGGGGCUGAGUGCUGCGUUCCUGAAUCCUGAUGCUGGUCACUCACUCACUUACGGCUGGUGAUUUUGGCGAGAGUUUUGCUCCGGUAGGCAAUGGCGUGUGGUUGAUUUGCCACCGAGACUUUUGCGGCACAAGCUUAGGAACGUCGCGAUCUCUAGUAUAUACUGGAUGACAUCUCAUGCUGAAUUAGCGAGGCAUCAAAAACAAACCACGUGAUUUAGCAGGAAAAAAUUAGCAUUGGGUGCGUCAGCAAACAAACUACAGUAAUAAGCUACUGGAGCAAAAGUACAAGGAGCGCUGUGCUGUUUCUGGAUUUUUCCUUGACCCGAAGGCCGGAUUUCUUCCGCCCUCCUCCUCGUGCGCACAAUUUUUUUCAAACAAGCAAGAUGACCUCUCGUACCACGCCAGGACAAAGAAAAAGCAAUUUGUAGUAUUAUUAAGCAACUGACGAAUUCGAGAGUGAGAAACCUAUGUUAAGUUUUUCGAGGCCAAGAUGAUCUUUGCUACUGCCAUAAUCAACGGAGGAAACAGGUCGUGGCUAAAUUGCUACGAAAAAUGGAGCGGAAGAAAGAAACGGCAGCGGCGGAACCACGCGACUGAUUGAAAUCACAGACGAGGAGAGGAGAACUCACCAGAUUGUGACGAAGCGAGAGGACGAAGGAGGCGUGGAUUAUCUCUCGUCCGUGGGCAAAAAACACGAACCAAUCUUGCAACCCACACGCCCCUCCCUCUCCGCACGCCGCCGCCCCCUCGUUCUUCCUCCCUGGUUCCCUCGGCCUGUCUCGGAAUCAAACAAGGGGCAGGCAGGGGCCGGAGACCCGUGGUCGGCGCAGGCAGGCUCGUGCUCGUCCCCCACGACACCGACCUGCCGCCGUCUCGUCCGGGGCAGACGCCACGCGAUGGAGAGAGAGUCAGAGACACACACACACACAAACACGGGAGGGCGGCGCCGGCGGGGAGACGACGCGCUAUUGUGUCACUGAUGAUGGGGAGGAGGCGGCGAUGAGGGAAAAACUGGACUAGUAGCAGUAUUU
Molecule: ribosomal RNA, 1738 nt
Filed under: Triticum aestivum (bread wheat)
Lineage: Eukaryota; Viridiplantae; Streptophyta; Magnoliopsida; Poales; Poaceae
Description: partial small subunit ribosomal RNA
Source: RNAcentral